Acanthosepion pharaonis is the source of this 112-nucleotide non-coding RNA. NCBI's taxonomy places the organism in Eukaryota, Metazoa, Mollusca, Cephalopoda, Sepiida, Sepiidae. The record is from the annotation of a GenBank genome assembly.
UUACGGCCAUAUCGUUUUGAAACAUUGGUUCCUGUAUGAUUAUCAAAGUUAAGCAACAUUGAGCCUGGUCAGUACCAAGAUGGGUGAACACUUGAGAAUAUCAGGUGUUAUA